Molecule: long non-coding RNA, 1397 nt
Organism: Hylaeus anthracinus
Lineage: Eukaryota; Metazoa; Arthropoda; Insecta; Hymenoptera; Colletidae
Exons: 5
Source: RefSeq, a predicted model, not a curated record
UGAAGUUCGUCCUCGAUCUUCUCUGCUUGCCGUUUCCGUUCCCGCUGUUGCGGCAAUUGGAACCUGAACAAAUUUUAAACGGUGACUCAGACACCCAGCGACAAAUAGCGUGUCAUUUCUUCCGGACUGGUCGACAUCAACAUAAAUUCCGGUCUUUUACGAGGAUCUUAUUCAAAUCACGCGUCGCGACUUUUCAAUUAGUUGACAUUAGAGAAACGUCGCCGAGAAAAUUUAUGUCGCUCCGCGGACCUCCUUGGCGAAAAUUGGGAGAGAUCAAACGGAAACGACUGAAGAAACUACGUAUCUUCAAGUUUAUCACGGAACCGAUCUUAAAAACUUCCGGAGGAGACGGUCGUCGCAGUGCAAACGAGCCGCAAGCACCGCCGCGAGUUAAAGAGACGCCUGGAUAAUUAACGGGCAUACGAUUUAAUUAAUGGCCGCUUAAUGCAAAGUAACUGCAGUACAACUCUUGGAGGUGUUGCCGAUGGGAACUCGAGAAGAUCCGAGCACGUUACUUUCGGAGAACGUGAGGGGGCACGGAGGGUGGAUUAAGCGUCUCGCGUAAGAGCCCUUGACGAAGGGGAUGUGAUUUAUAUAAUUUAGCAAAGUGGUACCUUCGGGUGUGGUUCACCGUUUGAGACGAAAUGUAAACAAGCUUUGUUCUAUCAACGAUCCUCGGGACUUCUUUAGGAACGUAGGUGCGAAACUCGUGGUUCGAUGCCGAGGAUUGUGCCGUGGAUUGUGCCCAGGCGGGAAUGCAACUCUAGAAAGAUAAAGGGAGAAAGUGGCCGUGGAACCCUAGUGGAAAACCCGAAGCAAUCACACUCGGACACGAGGGGCCGCUAAUUCGAUUACUAAGAGCGCUGCCCUCUUGGCCUGAUCCAGUCAAACCACCCUCGCCACCCCUUCGUGGACCACCCUCGGACUCGGUGAUCGUCGCUGGUCCCUGUACUUUUUCCCCCCUCGCGAAACGGGUCGAGAUAUCGUAGCCAUUAGGCGUAUAAAAGCGGCCGAGACAACCCUGCUUAAUCCCCUGGCAGUUUGUCGCGUAUGCUGUAACUGCAUAUGGCACGCAGUCGGGCUCCCGAGUAACUAGGUCUAUGCUGCAAGCUUAGAAGCAAGGAUUAAAAAUCCUCAUCCAUUUAGGAGGACAUGCAGACUACACCAAUGCGCGUAAUAAUAACCUUUAACGAUAAACUACCACGGCUGGUAAUAAAAUCACCCUUACAAACUUUUUUAUACAGUUCUUAUACGCAACAUAUGAAUUAUAUACAAUUGUUUCAUUCGUCAUUCAAUUUUACGUGAGAUAUUUUUGUAUCUAAUUUUAGAAAGUGUUUUUAAGACUAAUAAUUUUUGUUUCAUUUAAAGAUUUAACGUCGCAUCAACAUCCUAGGUUA